This 380-nucleotide ribosomal RNA is filed under the name uncultured eukaryote. Its description in RNAcentral is "SSU rRNA". It matches the Rfam family "Eukaryotic small subunit ribosomal RNA", at positions 587 to 972 of the family's 1831-position model. The record is from RNAcentral.
AGCUCCAAUAGCGUAUAUUAAAGUUGUUGCGGUAAAAAAGCUCGUAGUUGGAUUUCUGUUGAGGGCGACCGGUCCAUACCACGUAUGCGCAUCUGGCUCGGCCUCGGCAUCCUCUCGCAAGACGCUUCUGCGCUUCAUUGCGUGGAGCGGAUUACGGGACUUUUACUUUGAGGAAAUUAGAGUGUUCACGGCAGGCUAUCGCCCGAAUAUAUUAGCAUGGAAUAAUACUAUAGGAUCUUGGUUCUAUUUUGUUGGUUUCUAGAAUUGAGAUAAUGAUUAAUAGGGACAAUUGGGGGCAUUCGUAUCAACGCGUCAGAGGUGGAAUUCUUGGAUUGCGUUGCGACGAACUACUGCGAAAGCAUUUGCCAAGGAUGUUUUCA